Molecule: ribosomal RNA, 474 nt
Filed under: uncultured organism
Description: partial 16S ribosomal RNA
Rfam family: Bacterial small subunit ribosomal RNA
Source: RNAcentral
ACUCCUACGGGAGGCAGCAGUGGGGAAUAUUGCACAAUGGGCGCAAGCCUGAUGCAGCCAUGCCGCGUGUAUGAAGAAGGCCUUCGGGUUGUAAAGUACUUUCAGCGGGGAGGAAGGCGAUAAGGUUAAUAACCUUGUUGAUUGACGUUACCCGCAGAAGAAGCACCGGCUAACUCCGUGCCAGCAGCCGCGGUAAUACGGAGGGUGCAAGCGUUAAUCGGAAUUACUGGGCGUAAAGCGCACGCAGGCGGUCUGUCAAGUCGGAUGUGAAAUCCCCGGGCUCAACCUGGGAACUGCAUUCGAAACUGGCAGGCUAGAGUCUUGUAGAGGGGGGUAGAAUUCCAGGUGUAGCGGUGAAAUGCGUAGAGAUCUGGAGGAAUACCGGUGGCGAAGGCGGCCCCCUGGACAAAGACUGACGCUCAGGUGCGAAAGCGUGGGGAGCAAACAGGAUUAGAAACCCCGGUAGUCCCAUGA